Non-coding RNA from Vicia faba (fava bean), 231 nucleotides. NCBI's taxonomy places the organism in Eukaryota, Viridiplantae, Streptophyta, Magnoliopsida, Fabales, Fabaceae. The record is from the annotation of a GenBank genome assembly.
AUGGAUGCUGCUAGAACACCAUCCACAGGCUUAGAUGACAGGACUGCUAGCUCCGAUGAAGGCAGUAUCAAUUUAAUCAGCUAUCCAUCAAUAGCACCAUAUAUAAGGGAAUCUUCAAGGGGGGUCUUUAGCUCUGAAUUAUCUCAAAACCCUGUUAGAAUGGUACCGAAUGGUGCAGUCGUUGAUGCAAGUUUUCAAGAAGCACAAGGAUGCGACCUGCUAUCCACAUAG